GUAACGGCGAGUGAAGCGGGAAGAGCUCAAAUUUGAAAUCUGGUAGCCUUCGGUUGCCCGAGUUGUAAUCUAGAGAAGUGUUUUCCGCGUUGGCCCAUGUACAAGUCCCUUGGAACAGGGCGUCAUAGAGGGUGAGAAUCCCGUCCUUGACAUGGACCCCCAAUGCUUUGUGAUACACUUUCAACGAGUCGAGUUGUUUGGGAAUGCAGCUCAAAAUGGGUGGUGAAUUCCAUCUAAAGCUAAAUAUUGGCGAGAGACCGAUAGCGAACAAGUACCGUGAGGGAAAGAUGAAAAGCACUUUGGAAAGAGAGUUAAACAGUACGUGAAAUUGUUGAAAGGGAAACGAUUGAAGUCAGUCAUGCUCUUUGGAUUAAGCCGUUCUGCGGUGUAUUUCAUUGAGCGGGGUCAACAUCAGUUUUGAUCGCUGGAAAAGGGCAGGAGGAAGGUAGCACUCUCGGGUGAACUUAUAGCCUCUUGUCGUAUACAGUGAUUGGGACUGAGGAACGCAGCAUGCCUUUUGGCCGGGAUUCGUCCACGUACAUGCUUAGGAUGUUGACAUAAUGGCUUUAAACGACCCGUCUUG
Molecule: ribosomal RNA, 583 nt
Filed under: Naganishia globosa
Lineage: Eukaryota; Fungi; Basidiomycota; Tremellomycetes; Filobasidiales; Filobasidiaceae
Description: partial large subunit ribosomal RNA
Rfam family: Eukaryotic large subunit ribosomal RNA
Source: RNAcentral